This 440-nucleotide ribosomal RNA is filed under the name uncultured bacterium. Its description in RNAcentral is "partial 16S ribosomal RNA". It matches the Rfam family "Bacterial small subunit ribosomal RNA", at positions 338 to 795 of the family's 1533-position model. The record is from RNAcentral.
CCUACGGGUGACAGCAGUGGGGAAUAUUGCACAAUGGGGGAAACCCUGAUGCAGCGACGCCGCGUGAGUGAAGAAGUAUUUCGUUAUGUAAAGCUCUAUCAGCAGGGAAGAAAAUGACGGUACCUGAGUAAGAAGCCCCCGCUAACUACGUGCCAGCAGCCGCGGGAAUACGGAGGGGGCAAGCGUUAACCGGAUUUACUGGGUGUAAAGGGAGCGUAGACGGCAGUGUAAGGCUGGAGUGAAAAGCCGGGGCUCAACCCCCGGACUGCACUGGAAACUGUACGGCUGGAGUGCCGGAGGGGUAAGCGGAAUUCCUAGUGUAGCGGUGAAAUGCGUAGAUAUUAGGAGGAACACCAGUGGCGAAGGCGGCUUACUGGACUGUAACUGACGUUGAGGCUCGAAAGCGUGGGGAGCAAACAGGAUUAGAUACCCCUGUAGUC